CGUGAGGCGGAGCUAAUCCCUUAAAGCCAUUCUCAGUUCGGAUUGUAGGCUGAAACUCGCCUACAUGAAGCUGGAGUUACUAGUAAUCGCAGAUCAGAAUGCUGCGGUGAAUGCGUUCCCGGGCCUUGUACACACCGCCCGUCACACCAUGAGAGUUGGGGAUACCCGAAGCCUGUGAGCUAACAGUAAUGAAGCAGCAGUCGAAGGUAGAAUCAAUGAUUGGGGUGAAGUCGUAACAAGGUAUC
This 245-nucleotide ribosomal RNA is filed under the name uncultured bacterium. RNAcentral describes it as "partial 16S ribosomal RNA". It matches the Rfam family "Bacterial small subunit ribosomal RNA", at positions 1256 to 1500 of the family's 1533-position model. The record is from RNAcentral.